GAAAUGCGAUAAGUAAUGUGAAUUGCAGAAUUCAGUGAAUCAUCGAAUCUUUGAACGCACAUUGCGCUCGCCAGUAUUCUGGCGAGCAUGCCUGUUAGAGCGUCAUUUCAACCAUCAAGCUCUGCUUGCGUUGGGGAUCCGCGGCUGCCCGCGGUCCCUCAAAAACAGUGGCGGGCUCGCUAGUCACACCGAGCGUAGUAACUCUACAUCGCUAUGGUCGUGCGGCGGGUUCUUGCCGUAAAACCCCCAAUUUCUAAGGUUGACCUCGGAUCAGGUAGGAAUACCCGCUGAACUUAAGC
RNAcentral lists this unclassified non-coding RNA (299 nucleotides) under plant metagenome. RNAcentral's name for it is "partial contains 5.8S ribosomal RNA, internal transcribed spacer 2, and large subunit ribosomal RNA". The stretch from base 1 to 105 matches the Rfam family "5.8S ribosomal RNA", at positions 50 to 154 of the family's 154-position model. The record is from RNAcentral.